UGGCUCAGAACGAACGCUGGCGGCAUGGAUUAGGCAUGCAAGUCGAACGGUGCAGCAAUGCAUAGUGGCGCAAGGGUGAGGAACGCGUGAGUAACCUGCCCUCAAGUUGGGAACAGCUUCUGGAAACGGAAAUUAAUACCGAAUGUGACCAUAGGAAGGCAUCUUCUGUUGGUUAAAGGCCGCAAGGUCGCUUGAGGAGGGGCUCGCGUCCCAUUAUGCUAGUUGGUGAGGUAACGGCCCACCAAGGCGAAGAUGGGUAGCUGGUCUGAGAGGACGAUCAGCCACACUGGGACUGAGAACUGCCCAGACUCCUACGGGAGGCUGCAGUCGAGAAUUUUGGGCAAUGGACGAAAGUCUGACCCAAGCAAUGCCGCGUGCGGGAUGAAGGUCUUCGGAUUGUAAACCGCUGUCAAGUGGGACGAAACAAAUGACGGUACCGCUGAAGGAAGUCACGGCUAACUACGUGCCAGCCGCCGC
This 477-nucleotide ribosomal RNA is filed under the name uncultured bacterium. Its description in RNAcentral is "bacterial SSU rRNA". It matches the Rfam family "Bacterial small subunit ribosomal RNA", at positions 20 to 518 of the family's 1533-position model. The record is from RNAcentral.